Molecule: long non-coding RNA, 925 nt
Filed under: Nicotiana benthamiana
Lineage: Eukaryota; Viridiplantae; Streptophyta; Magnoliopsida; Solanales; Solanaceae
Description: long non-coding RNA (NBEN_LNC010053)
Source: RNAcentral
CAUAGAAUAAAUGAUAUUAACUAAAUAUGUCAAUCAACUGGCCGUAAGAAUUACAAGACUCGAUUAAUAUCCAUUCAUGGUUUGAGAAAAAAAAAAUUCCCAUGAGCCUUAUAAAAUCAUCAGACCAUUUGUUUCAAUUGUACAAAUUUUAAAAAAUUUUGAACAUUUUGAAACUAAAACCACUAUAAAAUCAGAAGAAGUUAUUUCAUGAUGGGUGAUGGACUGGAUCAUAUCUGAUGUUUACGAGCAUUUGCCAUAGGAGAAGGAUUAGGUUUGAGCGGCUGCCUGUUACUCCGACCUCGUAAAUGACUCAUAUUCUCAUUGAAUUUGACAGGUGACAACUUUAACUCUAAGAUCCUGGAUUCGCCUCGCAAACACAAUUAUGCAUCCAUUGAUAAGAUAGCAAAAAUUACUAGAAAGUGUAAAGCAGCAAUUAUGCAUCCAUUGAUAAGAUAAGAAAAAUUACUAAAAAGUGUAAAGCAGCAAUAAUGUUCAUUUUUUGUCCUGUCACAAUGCUUGUGUUAAGUUUGUUUGUUAUAUGCUUGUAGUUGCGAAGAAGAAACUCAUAUAUCUCUUAAAAUACCCAUUUUCAUUACGCGUUGUUCCCACUUGCCUACUUGUCAAACCUCUGCAACUUAUUUUGAAUGGAAAUCUCCAGUCAAAGAAUUGAAAGAAGAGCAGACAACUUUAAAUCUGAAAUUCGAUAGUUCCCAAGUAAUCAAAUAUAGUAGGCAAACAACCUCACAACUUCCGACGUCGGAACCUAGUGUUCCAACAAUUGAAAAAAAUGUCGAAGUUUUACCAUGUGGACUAUGGAUUUAUACGGGCAAAAGACUAUUUUAUGGGCUGCCUUUUGAUAACCCAAUCAAUCUUAAUAGUAGUAACACACACAUAUGCGCGUUGGCUACUUAAAGGACUAAACAAG